AACGAACGCUGGCGGCAGGCCUAACACAUGCAAGUCGAACGCUCGUAGCAAUACGGGAGUGGCAGACGGGUGAGUAACACGUGGGAACGUACCCUUCGGUUCGGGAUAACUCAGGGAAACUUGAGCUAAUACCGGAUACGUCCGAGAGGAGAAAGGUUUACUGCCGAAGGAUCGGCCCGCGUCUGAUUAGCUAGUUGGUGAGGUAACGGCUCACCAAGGCGACGAUCAGUAGCUGGUCUGAGAGGAUGAUCAGCCACAUUGGGACUGAGACACGGCCCAAACUCCUACGGGAGGCAGCAGUGGGGAAUAUUGGACAAUGGGCGCAAGCCUGAUCCAGCCAUGCCGCGUGAGUGAUGAAGGCCCUAGGGUUGUAAAGCUCUUUUACCUGGGAAGAUAAUGACUGUACCAGGAGAAUAAGCCCCGGCUAACUUCGUGCCAGCCGCCGCCGUAACAC
This 454-nucleotide ribosomal RNA is filed under the name uncultured bacterium. RNAcentral describes it as "bacterial SSU rRNA". It matches the Rfam family "Bacterial small subunit ribosomal RNA", at positions 29 to 526 of the family's 1533-position model. The record is from RNAcentral.